AUAAAAUACGAAAAAAGCACCAUAGAGUUCCUGAAAUAAACCGGGAGCAGAGGGAAUUGAUGCAGCCUUGCUGUAGUAUGAACUUGCAGGAUCAACGUCCCCCAACUAACAACAUCCUGUGGCAGGAGCAGGAACUGCUUGAACCAGAGGAACAUCCAAGGCCUAUCAAGAUGUUGGCUUUACUGACGCUGAUAUUCAUGUUGGGCGUCUCUUGCG
This is a long non-coding RNA of Elgaria multicarinata webbii, 216 nucleotides long. RefSeq lists it as uncharacterized. The transcript has 3 exons. Lineage: Eukaryota; Metazoa; Chordata; Lepidosauria; Squamata; Anguidae. The record is from RefSeq and is a predicted model, not a curated record.